GACGAACGCUGGCGGCGUGCCUAAUACAUGCAAGUAGAACGCUGAAGAGGGGAGCUUGCUCUUCUUGGAUGAGUAGCGAACGGGUGAGUAACGCGUAGGUAACCUGCCUUGUAGCGGGGGAUAACUAUUGGAAACGAUAGCUAAUACCGCAUAACAAUGGAUGACACAUGUCAUUUAUUUGAAAGGGGCAAUUGCUCCACUACAAGAUGGACCUGCGUUGUAUUAGCUAGUAGGUGAGGUAACGGCUCACCUAGGCGACGAUACAUAGCCGACCUGAGAGGGUGAUCGGCCACACUGGGACUGAGACACGGCCCAGACUCCUACGGGAGGCAGCAGUAGGGAAUCUUCGGCAAUGGGGGCAACCCUGACCGAGCAACGCCGCGUGAGUGAAGAAGGUUUUCGGAUCGUAAAGCUCUGUUGUAAGUCAAGAACGAGUGUGAGAGUGGAAAGUUCACACUGUGACGGUGGCUUACCAGAAAGGGACGGCUAACUACGUG
This 497-nucleotide ribosomal RNA is filed under the name uncultured bacterium. RNAcentral describes it as "partial 16S ribosomal RNA". It matches the Rfam family "Bacterial small subunit ribosomal RNA", at positions 28 to 507 of the family's 1533-position model. The record is from RNAcentral.